AGAGUUUGAUCCUGGCUCAGGAUGAACGCUGGCGGCGUGCUUAACACAUGCAAGUCGAACGAUGAGGAGGAGCUUGCUCCUCUGGAUUAGUGGCGAACGGGUGAGUAACACGUGAGCAAUCUGCCCCUGACUCUGGGAUAAGCGUUGGAAACGACGUCUAAUACCGGAUACGAGCUGAGAAGGCAUCUUCAGCAGCUGGAAAGAACUUCGGUCAGGGAUGAGCUCGCGGCCUAUCAGGUAGUUGGUGAGGUAACGGCUCACCAAGCCUACGACGGGUAGCCGGCCUGAGAGGGUGACUGGCCACACUGGGACUGAGACACGGCCCAGACUCCUACGGGAGGCAGCAGUGGGGAAUAUUGCACAAUGGGCGAAAGCCUGAUGCAGCAACGCCGCGUGAGGGACGAAGGCCUUCGGGUCGUAAACCUUCUUUUAGCGAGGGAAGAAGCGAAAGUGACGGUACCUGCAGAAAAAGCACCGGCUAACUACGUG
Molecule: ribosomal RNA, 489 nt
Filed under: uncultured Agrococcus sp.
Lineage: Bacteria; Bacillati; Actinomycetota; Actinomycetes; Micrococcales; Microbacteriaceae
Description: bacterial SSU rRNA
Rfam family: Bacterial small subunit ribosomal RNA
Source: RNAcentral